UAUAUAGUGAAAACAAUAAUGGUCCUAAAACGGAACCUUGAGGAACACUGAAAUUUACAGUUGAUUUGUUAGAGGACAAACCAUUCACAGAGACAAACUGAUAUCUUUCCGACAGAUAAGAUCUAGGCCUAUGUAUUUUAUUUCAAUAUCCUACUACAAUUUACAAACCCCUAUAUUUAUUCCAUUUAUUUAAAUAGUCAGAUAGUCAAACAUUAUUGCACCUGAAUUUGACCCUGACAAUUAUAUUGUGUAAAGCUUUUGAGCAAUUCAAAUUACUGCACGCAUUGUUAUUUUAAUGUCAGUAGCUAAAUGAGGAGGUAGGCAUAUCUGUUCCAACUAAAAUUUGGAUUGGAAUCGGUGCUAGCAGCAAUAUAUCUCUGUGCGCGGUGCAGGCAGCUUGAGCAAUCAAGUGCAUUGCUCAAGAAUCAUUGGGACAGAGCGCCUGGUAGGUUACACAACAACACAGCUGGAAAACAAUGACAGCUUCGAAAUAUGCACAAAAAACUUUGAUAACAUUCUCCUGCAUUGUUGUUUUACUUUUGUAAGUAAGGCGGCGGUUUGUUGGGGAGAAGAACUUCAUGAGGAAUUUUGCUAGCUGGCUAAUUUUAGCUAGCUAACAUUAGCUCUCUAGCUAAUCAUCCAUGGACAUGAUCUGACCCAUCACACCACUAUUCAAGAAGGCCACUAUGCUCCAGAUCGCCUUCUCUGCGGUCCUCGAUGAGGAUCUACCCGAUUACACCACUCUUAUUAGGCAUUAAUAAAAAAUCCCAAUGUGCAUUUA
Long non-coding RNA from Oncorhynchus gorbuscha (pink salmon), 781 nucleotides. RefSeq lists it as uncharacterized. The transcript has 2 exons. NCBI's taxonomy places the organism in Eukaryota, Metazoa, Chordata, Actinopteri, Salmoniformes, Salmonidae. The record is from RefSeq and is a predicted model, not a curated record.